Taeniopygia guttata (zebra finch) is the source of this 1145-nucleotide non-coding RNA. The record is from RefSeq and is a predicted model, not a curated record. NCBI's taxonomy places the organism in Eukaryota, Metazoa, Chordata, Aves, Passeriformes, Estrildidae.
AGGAUUAUAGGUAUGUAGUUUGAAUAGAAGUGUGUAAUAUCCCAUGGUAGAAAACUUAGAGUUCAAUGUUUUAGAAUAUAGUAGCAUAUAUAAAACAAGAUAAAAGUUUUAGAGUAGUAGCUAUUCCUUCUUCUUCACCUUCUUCUUCAGAGGCUUAGGUGGUAUUAUGUAAUUAGACAGAAAAGUCUGCAUUGUGGGACACAGGUAAUUAGUUAUUAAGUUAAAAGUAAAAAUAACUUAAGUGUCAAUUCUUAAUUAGAUAGUUUUUCCUUAAAAGAGUUUAUAGAUAUACAGAGCCAUUUUGUAGCUUGUUAAUGAAAUACUGUAGAACUCACGUCUGGUAAGACUGUAAUAUAAAUAAGAACUAAUAAACAUCUGAGUCCAAAUACAAAAUACCAUCUUUGUGCAUUUAAUGCCAACCCUGACCAAAGCAAAAAAAGAAGCUAAAAAUCGACAAGAGAUGAUAUUUUGAAGUACCUUGAGUGUUCCACAGUAGGACUUAAAGGACUCUCUGGUCUUUCCUGCCUGUUAGCAAAUAAGUAAUUGCUGAGAGUCAGUCAAAUGAUGAAUUGAGACAAUGGUUAUCUACAAAAGGCUUAUUUACUGUGUCUUUUAUCUUUGAGGCUGUGAUCUUUCUGAGAGGAUCUGCAGAUGGCUGCCAUUUACUAGCCAGAUGAACUCAUUUACAGGAAAAGGAGAGGCAGAGACACACAGACUGACAUUUCUACUGUGUGGUUUGAAGCUACAGUGUAAAGCCUAGGGUCUCUACUGUCCUUGGGAUUCUCAUCUGUAAAGAGAUGAAAAGAGGAUGGAUGCCAGAAGACUGCUGACACACCGUGUCAUGACAGUCACUUAUGAAGGUGAGAUUAAUUGGCAGCAGACCAACUUUGAAGGGAUCUUGAUGGCUGGAUAUGAAUCAGGAGUGUGUGGGUGGCAGUCUGUGGGUGUCUGUUGGCAGGUCUUGGCUGCAUGUGGAUUCUGUGGAGCACAGCUGAGUGCAAGACAGGCCUUUCUCAGGUAAAGAUGGAGAAAGGACAUUCAGAGAGAACAAUGAGGGGAGGUGGGCAACCUAAGGAAAGGGUAGGAAAAAGAUGGAGGAGCAGGUGCUGAAGAAGGGUUGAGAAGGGAGGUAGGAGCAGUGCUAA